RNAcentral lists this ribosomal RNA (406 nucleotides) under uncultured bacterium. Its description in RNAcentral is "partial 16S ribosomal RNA". It matches the Rfam family "Bacterial small subunit ribosomal RNA", at positions 29 to 526 of the family's 1533-position model. The record is from RNAcentral.
AUUGAACGCUGGCGGCAGGCCUAACACAUGCAAGUCGAACGAGUGGCGGACGGGUGAGUAAUGUCUGGGAAACUGCUUGAUGGAGGGGGAUAACUACGGGAAAAGGUAGCAAAUACCGCAAACCACCGGAUGUGCCCAGAUGGGAUUAGCUAGUAGGGGGGGUAAAGGCUCACCUAGGCGACGAUCACUAGCUGGUCUGAGAGGAUGACCAGCCACACUGGAACUGAGACACGGUCCAGACUCCUACGGGAGGCAGCAGUGGGGAAUAUUGCACAAUGGGCGCAAGCCUGAUGCAGCCAUGCCGCGUGAAUGAAGAAGGCCUUCGGGUUGUAAAGUACUUUCAGCGGGGAGGCGUUACCCGCCGAAAAAGCACCGGCUAACUCCGUGCCAGCAGCCGCGGUAAUAC